Long non-coding RNA from Ictalurus punctatus (channel catfish), 1406 nucleotides. The record is from Ensembl. Lineage: Eukaryota; Metazoa; Chordata; Actinopteri; Siluriformes; Ictaluridae.
AGACAAUCUGCGGUAGUGUUUUGUCUUUUUUUGAGUCACCAUCAUGACAUCAUCGCCAAACCCGCACACCUGAUUCUCCUCUCCCUCCCUCUGAUUGGUCCGGUCUCUCUCCUCAUGUUCUGCUCUUUGUCUGGCUCUUGACACUCUCUGCGUUUAUGGCAUACGGCAGUGAAAGAUCGUUUCCAUGGAGACAUGCUGGCUGGCAGAACACCUGAUUAACGGUGGAGGGAAAAUGGCCGUAAAGUGUGUCUGCUGCAACCAGAUUAGGGUUCGACAAACACGGGCUGUCUAACAGGACUAAUCGUUUCACCGCUGAGGGAUUUUCCACACGCUGACUCGAAACAAGGACGUGAUGAUGAUGAUGAUGAUGAUGAUGAUGAUGAUGAUUAUGAUUAUUAUUACUGUUAUUAUCUCUAUGCAUGAAAGGUUAGCUAAGAGCUUUCUAAACCAUUGUGAUCACAACCAGUCCGUUUUACUUUAACACACCUCCUUAAUGAGUCUGUUCUUUUUACGAGAGCUGGUGGCUUCCACUGCAUGGCCGGAUCCUUAAAUUAUAGCCGUAGCCCAACUGUGAAGGCACAACGUUACACCACAGCGCUCCUGAAUGCUCCGUUCUGAUUGGUCAGGUGUGAGGUGUUGAUUAGUUUUCCCAUAACAGCAGCUCUGACAGUAGUGCAGCUGCAAAUCACAGGCUCAUAUUAACGCGCUCUUCCGAAUACGUUAACGUUUCUAGAGUAACAGCUCACUCACGUGCCUACACGGAUUAAAAAACACGCAUAUGUGGUUGUUUUUUUUGUUUCACGUCUCCAGUGGAAGGAGUCUCCACGUCAGAGGUACAGAUGUAGUCAGUUUUCUGACAUCUUCAGGACACGUUGCGGUUUCUCGAUAGGAGGCCCUUCCUCUCGCUACAUGUAGGUCGCUGCUUCCUUUGUUCUUCUUCUCCGGGGCCUGGAGACUAUUUGACGUCGCCAUGCCAUUCUUUCAAGCCUCGCAUCGCCAUGGAAAUGCACAGGGCCAAACGGCGACGGUGCUGAAGAAGGACAGCGGAGAGCAAGAGAAAGGACUGGUCAAUGAAGUUAAUUGUUGAGAAGAAAAUGGACGCCAGCUCGCUUUUGUUCAGGCAAAAUGUGAGGGAAAGGACAGAUGAAAAAAGUGCAGUUGGUUCCUCCGGUCGGAGUGGCGAGGAAUGGAAAGUGAAAAGUAAAGAACUUAAGGGGAAGAACAGGAACUUUUAUUUUGGACAAGAAUUAAACCAUAAAAGUUUGAUCCUUUAAAGGUUUCUGUGUGUUGAGUGGGUUCAAUUGAAGUCAUUUACAGAAAUGUAUUAUAUUUUACAAUUUACAACUAAAGAGUGCAAUUACUUGAAACAAAUGCUCUGGUUAAAGUUCAUGUAUAUAUCCUCAUUA